UCCAGGCUGUUCCGUGAGGGCAUAUCCAAACAUUUUGAAUUUGAAAGUUAACGGUGAAGUUUUAUUUGAACAGAACGGACAAUAAUGAAAUGUCUAUGUGAAAGGAAUGUUUAAGGCUAGCCAAACUAACAAACCUACAAGGGCAUUGAAAGAAUGUUUGAAACGGUGUAAUGAAAAUUCAAAUGAAAACCUACAACGGUAAUGAGCGGGGAAAACCACAUUUGGAAUGUUCUUAAGUUGUGUGCCUUUGCCCUGUUCAACAAUGAAUUCAAGGUUUUUAUAGGCCGAUCCAGCGGAGUAGUGGGCGUUGAAAGUAAAUCCUCAGGUUUCUCUUCUCUGAAUUCUUCAGCCAUAUGGAGAUUCGAACAUGUGACUUAAGGUUCAAACCCUGGAAUUAAAAUUUUUUUUCACAUUCUGGCUGGUAAAAGAUGAAGGGGCAAAACGGAGGAUCAUAAAUUAGCAACCAAAUGAGAUCAAAUUCCCUCUUCCAGAGAUAAAACAGGUUUUGAGGGGACCCGAAACCCCUUAGAACAAGUUUUGAAGGGACCUGAAACCCUUAGAUUUUACACGGAUUUGAAACCCAAAAUAGACAGCUACCAAAGGAUUCAACAUUGAUAAUCAACAACCCAAACUCAGCCAAGCAUCGAAGAGUUAAAUUUGAUGUUUGUUUGGGUGUUAGUGUACACAUUUGAAGGUUAAAUUUGACAGAAAUUAAUCUGUCAUGCAUAUAAUUAAUUGGGCCUAAUUUUGAUGUAUGUUUAGUUGUCAUCGAUUAGAACUAUAUGAUAAAUUUAAUGCUCAUUUUGAGUCAGAAGUAGCAAUAUGAGAAG
Cryptomeria japonica (Japanese cedar) is the source of this 830-nucleotide long non-coding RNA. RefSeq lists it as uncharacterized. Lineage: Eukaryota; Viridiplantae; Streptophyta; Pinopsida; Cupressales; Cupressaceae. The record is from RefSeq and is a predicted model, not a curated record. The transcript is spliced from 3 exons.